AUUGAACGCUGGCGGCAGGCCUAACACAUGCAAGUCGAACGGUAACAGGAAGAUGCUUGCUUCUUUGCUGACGAGUGGCGGACGGGUGAGUUAUGUCUGGGAAACUUCCUGAUGGAGGGGGAUAACUACUGGAAACGGUUGCUACUACCGCAUAACGUCGCAAGACCAAAGAGGGGGACCUUCGGGCCUCUCGCCAUCGGCUGUGCCCAGAUGGGAUUAGCUAGUAGGUGGGGUAACGGCUCACCUAGGCGACGAUCCCUAGCUGGUCUGAGAGGAUGACCAGCCACACUGGAACUGAGACACGGUCCAGACUCCUACGGGAGGCAGCAGUGGGGAAUAUUGCACAAUGGGCGCAAGCCUGAUGCAGCCAUGCCGCGUGUAUGAAGAAGGCCUUCGGGUUGUAAAGUACUUUCAGCGGGGAGGAAGGGAGUAAAGUUAAUACCUUGACUCAUUGACGUUACCCGCAGAAGAAGCACCGGCUAACUCCGUG
This 490-nucleotide ribosomal RNA is filed under the name uncultured bacterium. Its description in RNAcentral is "partial 16S ribosomal RNA". It matches the Rfam family "Bacterial small subunit ribosomal RNA", at positions 30 to 507 of the family's 1533-position model. The record is from RNAcentral.